UUUGGAUAUGUGUGUGUGUAUGUGCAUAUGUGUAUAUGUAUAUAUACAAACACAUACACACCUACUCUCUAUA
Molecule: microRNA precursor, 73 nt
Filed under: Loxodonta africana (African savanna elephant)
Lineage: Eukaryota; Metazoa; Chordata; Mammalia; Proboscidea; Elephantidae
Description: miRNA (ENSLAFG00000024519.1)
Source: RNAcentral